RNAcentral lists this ribosomal RNA (284 nucleotides) under Bacillus sp. KP3.3. RNAcentral's name for it is "partial 16S ribosomal RNA". It matches the Rfam family "Bacterial small subunit ribosomal RNA", at positions 83 to 357 of the family's 1533-position model. Lineage: Bacteria; Bacillati; Bacillota; Bacilli; Caryophanales; Bacillaceae. The record is from RNAcentral.
UCUUAUGAAUUAGCGGCGGACGGGUGAGUAACACGUGGGUAACCUGCCCAUAAGACUGGGAUAACUCCGGGAAACCGGGGCUAAUACCGGAUAACAUUUUGAACCGCAUGGUUCGAAAUUGAAAGGCGGCUUCGGCUGUCACUUAUGGAUGGACCCGCGUCGCAUUAGCUAGUUGGUGAGGUAACGGCUCACCAAGGCAACGAUGCGUAGCCGACCUGAGAGGGUGAUCGGCCACACUGGGACUGAGACACGGCCCAGACUCCUACGGGAGGCAGCAGUGGUCA